GGAUGUGAGGGUGAACUGGCUGUGAUAUCUGUCACCCCAUUGAUCAUCAGGGUUGCUUUGGCUGAUCUGGCUGGCUAGGCAGAUGUCCCCUUCCUCCCAUACUGCUCCAUGUAUGUCCCUCCUGAAGCUGUGUGCUUAGUCAAAGAGGACAACUGGCCCCAAUGUGGAGGAACAUUCUUUGGUCAAGGGUAUAUGAAUAGCUGUACUCCCCUGCCAGAACUUCCAAACAAGCUCUCAAAACUGUAAACAAAAGUGAAACUUUUCAACCUGAGAAAGGGCAUUUACAAAAUUCCACUUAAAAUACAGGAUAUUU
Molecule: small nuclear RNA, 313 nt
Filed under: Castor canadensis (American beaver)
Lineage: Eukaryota; Metazoa; Chordata; Mammalia; Rodentia; Castoridae
Description: 7SK RNA (ENSCCNG00000010331.1)
Rfam family: 7SK RNA
About the family: 7SK was discovered as an abundant small nuclear RNA in the mid-70s but a possible function has only recently been suggested. Two independent studies have found that 7SK RNA binds the CDK9/cyclin T complex (known as elongation factor P-TEFb).
Source: Rfam by way of RNAcentral